Molecule: small nuclear RNA, 104 nt
Organism: Hippopotamus amphibius kiboko
Lineage: Eukaryota; Metazoa; Chordata; Mammalia; Artiodactyla; Hippopotamidae
Source: RefSeq, a predicted model, not a curated record
GUGCUCACUUCAGCGGCAUAUAAACUAAAAUUGGAAUGAUACAGAGAUUAGCAUGGCCCCUGCACAAGGAUGACACAAGAUGACAAGAUUUGUUAAGUGUUCCA